RNAcentral lists this small nucleolar RNA (103 nucleotides) under Cephalotus follicularis. Its description in RNAcentral is "Small nucleolar RNA Z266". It matches the Rfam family "Small nucleolar RNA Z266". Rfam says of the family: Z266 is a member of the C/D class of snoRNA which contain the C (UGAUGA) and D (CUGA) box motifs. Most of the members of the box C/D family function in directing site-specific 2'-O-methylation of substrate RNAs. Lineage: Eukaryota; Viridiplantae; Streptophyta; Magnoliopsida; Oxalidales; Cephalotaceae. The record is from Rfam by way of RNAcentral.
GGAUGGCAAGAAUGAUGAAUCAAUUAGAUGAAUGAAUGAAUUUAUUCAUCAUGAACUCGGAUCUUUGAGGCAGAUUAUUGUCUUUGUAGCGUAAUUGUCUUUU